AAAUUUGUUAUUACGCUUGUUAUUUAAUUAACAUAGAAUUGUUAUAAAAGAUAAUUGCAAUAUUGUGUUUGGUAAAUUUGAUAACGCGUGUGCGAACGACGCAACGUUUUUUUUUUAUAUUUAAUUUUUAAAGGAUAGUUGGGAAUAUAGGAGAGAAAUUUAAUAAUCUUGGGAAUGGAUGUGUGUAGAGAGAAAAAAAGAAUUUAUAUAUUUAAUCGGCAAUUAUUUUACGCGUAUUUUAUAUCGCAGAAGUUUUUUUUUUGUACAAAAACGCUUAAAAUUUUUAUAAUAGGAGAGAUUGUAUAACCAGCGUUUAACGUUUACGAAAAAAAAAAAAGAAAGAAAAAGUGAUUUACAUGGAGUAUUAAUUGUAUAUACAAAGGGGAUAAAAAGAAGAAUUAAUCGAGUUAAUAUUUUUCUUGCGAGUGCAAAAAGAAGAGGUUCUAAUUUCUUUUUCUUUUUUACAGAGAAAGUAACAAGAAACUGUUAAACUGUUUAUAUUCGAAAAUAUGGUAAAUUCCAUUUGCGCGAACCUGUUCAAGAUAAGCAAAUUUAUAUGGCCAAGUUGUUUAUGCAAUAACGGUUUUAAUUAUCUCCACCGGUCCAUGAUUUUUCAUUCAAUCAAUAAGAGUCCAUUUGCACGUGAAUAACGUAAUAACGUUUCAUAUUUUACGAAGAAUUUGGGGGAAAAAAAGGGGAAAGGCCUUGCGCACACGUGGUAUAUAAUUAUUUAAUAAAUGAAGAAUUCAUUUAUUUUGCAACAGUGACACAGUUUAAUAAAUUAAUAAUACCUUGUUGAAUUAAAUACAGAUCUGAUCCUCCCAGAUUUUUCUUCGAAUUAAUUAAUUCUCGACAGUUUCGUAAAUUGGGAAUUUGCCUUAAAUAGAAUUUUGUGAAAUUGAAAAAGAAAUAUGAAGGGAAUUAUUAUGGCCAAGGAUUUGAAAAAGUAUUUAAAAAAAGUAGCGUAAGAAAAUUUUCAUCGCGCGAUUUCCUUGUGCACACUUUUAAUUGGCUUCGUAUAAUUUAAAUUAAAAAAAAAAAUUCCGAAAAAUUUCUAAAGUGAGAGGUACGAUUAGUCAUAAAAUUUUUCGUCUCUUGUUUUCAAUUUAACAAGCCAUUAAAAUCAACGAUCAAAUUGUUGCUUUUAAUGAAACUUUGAGCGUGUGUAUGGAGCAUAAUCGAUUGUAUAGAGACCAAUUUUUUUUUUUUAGUGUAAUAAAUCUUCAAAGCUUUUUUUUUAAAUAUAGCUUUGUAUUAAUAGAUGGAGUAAAAUUUCAAAUUUUAUUCGAAAAUUUUCGAAUUAUUUAAUCUUUUACAUAGAAAGACUUUUCUCAAAACUUCAUCCUAAUAUUCCAUAAUAAUACACUCGCUCAUUUUCCAUUUCAAAGUUCUAUUUUAAAUUCGCUUUUAACCACAAUUUCGCUCAAAAGUUUCUUUCUCGAAACUCUUAGGAAACCAUGUUCCAAGAGAAGUGAUUACCGAACAAAGGUGGCCCGCCUAACUUCUAAUAUUGAGAGCUUGACACAUCGGGAAGUCAGUGGCUCGAAGCCAAGAGAGACAGAGAGAAAGAGAGACAGAGAGAGAGAGAGACCUCCUCGUUCGCUGGACGAUGACUCCGAACGUUCGCCUAACGUUCCAUCCACAAUGAUUCGAUCCCCUCGAUCUCGAUCGAAUCGUGGAUCUGGAAAAUCGGAUCGAAGUAAUCCGUGCCACGGUGUCGCGUGAACCGUGACGCGUUUUCCCGGAUGAUCGGCCCCGUGGACUUUGUCACAAAGCCCUGGCCAAUGGCGAAACUCGUUUUUGCAAAGUGAUCGUUCAUCGAGACGCGAUCGAUGCUUGGUAAAAAAAAAAAAGGAAAAAACGACGAAAAGAGAUUUUAAAAAGAAAGGCGUUGGUUUCGAACCUAACCGACUGGCUCCGGCCGAACAAAGUCAAUUACAGGGAACAACAUAUUGGGUCGAGUCGUGCCGGAUGUACUACUCUCUCUUUCUCCCCCUGUUGUUUCGUUUUGCUUUUAUUAGGAAACGACGGUAGCCAGUUCUAAUACGAUUGAAGUAACUCGAAUCUCAAGGGAGAAGCAAGCGAAAAAGACGUAAACGUUGGAUACGAGGGCAACGAUAAUUAGCCGAGGAACGAGUGAAAAGAUAUUUUCACGAGAGACCAAUUUGCUAGGAAUCAUGAAGUUAUAAAAGGCGAUUAAAGAGAAUUGCGAAACAGCGAUGGUGCAGAGGGCAGAGAGAUAUUACGGAAAAAUUGGAUUUGAGGAUUCGUGGAAAAAUGUCUUCCAAGUUAAAGCCGUGGAUAAUUAAUUAGUCGACGAUAAUCCCGAUUCUCGUUAGUGAAACAACACGGGCUGUGCUCCUCUCGUGUCAAGGCUGUGUCUCAUUUUUCUCCAUUUGAUUUCGUCCUGGUAUUCGUCGUGGAAUGUUAAUAAUGUAUUAUAAUUAGAAUACUUUUAAUCUUGAAGCUUGAAAAGAUUAAUAAGUCUUUUCAGUGGAACGAGAUUUUUUCUCUUAAUCGAAUCAAUUUGUUGUUGGCGUAUAAACAAAAUGGAAAAUAUAAUAUUAAUCUCGAAGAAAAUUAAA
Molecule: long non-coding RNA, 2585 nt
Organism: Apis mellifera (honey bee)
Lineage: Eukaryota; Metazoa; Arthropoda; Insecta; Hymenoptera; Apidae
Exons: 2
Source: RefSeq, a predicted model, not a curated record